Molecule: ribosomal RNA, 699 nt
Filed under: Pseudomonas sp. B18
Lineage: Bacteria; Pseudomonadati; Pseudomonadota; Gammaproteobacteria; Pseudomonadales; Pseudomonadaceae
Description: bacterial SSU rRNA
Rfam family: Bacterial small subunit ribosomal RNA
Source: RNAcentral
CAGCACGGGUACUUGUACCUGGUGGCGAGCGGCGGACGGGUGAGUAAUGCCUAGGAAUCUGCCUGGUAGUGGGGGAUAACGCUCGGAAACGGACGCUAAUACCGCAUACGUCCUACGGGAGAAAGCAGGGGACCUUCGGGCCUUGCGCUAUCAGAUGAGCCUAGGUCGGAUUAGCUAGUUGGUGAGGUAAUGGCUCACCAAGGCGACGAUCCGUAACUGGUCUGAGAGGAUGAUCAGUCACACUGGAACUGAGACACGGUCCAGACUCCUACGGGAGGCAGCAGUGGGGAAUAUUGGACAAUGGGCGAAAGCCUGAUCCAGCCAUGCCGCGUGUGUGAAGAAGGUCUUCGGAUUGUAAAGCACUUUAAGUUGGGAGGAAGGGCAGUAAAUUAAUACUUUGCUGUUUUGACGUUACCGACAGAAUAAGCACCGGCUAACUCUGUGCCAGCAGCCGCGGUAAUACAGAGGGUGCAAGCGUUAAUCGGAAUUACUGGGCGUAAAGCGCGCGUAGGUGGUUUGUUAAGUUGGAUGUGAAAUCCCCGGGCUCAACCUGGGAACUGCAUUCAAAACUGACAAGCUAGAGUAUGGUAGAGGGUGGUGGAAUUUCCUGUGUAGCGGUGAAAUGCGUAGAUAUAGGAAGGAACACCAGUGGCGAAGGCGACCACCUGGACUGAUACUGACACUGAGGUGCGAAAGCGU